RNAcentral lists this microRNA precursor (68 nucleotides) under Pteropus vampyrus (large flying fox). Its description in RNAcentral is "miRNA (ENSPVAG00000027986.1)". Lineage: Eukaryota; Metazoa; Chordata; Mammalia; Chiroptera; Pteropodidae. The record is from RNAcentral.
GAUAGUCAUCAGAGAGCCAGUAGCCUGGGCUAGCAGCACUCUCAUGCACUGGGGCCAUGAUGGGCAGU